RNAcentral lists this ribosomal RNA (330 nucleotides) under uncultured bacterium. RNAcentral's name for it is "bacterial SSU rRNA". It matches the Rfam family "Bacterial small subunit ribosomal RNA", at positions 568 to 898 of the family's 1533-position model. The record is from RNAcentral.
UCCGUAGGCGGUGUGGCAAGUCGGUAGUGAAAUCUCUCGGCUUAACUGAGAGGCUGCUGCCGAAACUGCCAUGCUCGAGUGCGAGAGAGGCGAGUGGAAUUGCGGGUGUAGCGGUGAAAUGCGUAGAUAUCCGCAGGAACAUCCGAGGCGAAAGCGGCUCGCUGGAUCGCAACUGACGCUGAGGGACGAAAGCUAGGGGAGCAAACAGGAUUAGAUACCCUGGUAGUCCUAGCCCUAAACCAUCAGGACUUGGGGUUUGCCCUGUACGGGGCAAGUCCCGGAGCUAACGCGUUAAGUCCUGCGCCUAGGGAGUACGGUCGCAAGGCUGAA